RNAcentral lists this ribosomal RNA (253 nucleotides) under uncultured bacterium. Its description in RNAcentral is "partial 16S ribosomal RNA". It matches the Rfam family "Bacterial small subunit ribosomal RNA", at positions 524 to 776 of the family's 1533-position model. The record is from RNAcentral.
UACGUGGGGUGCGAGCGUUGUCCGGCAUUAUUGGGCGUAAAGAGCUUGUAGGCGGUUUGUCGCGUCUGCUGUGAAAAUCCGGGGCUCAACCCCGGACUUGCAGUGGGUACGGGCAGACUAGAGUGCGGUAGGGGAGAUUGGAAUUCCUGGUGUAGCGGUGGAAUGCGCAGAUAUCAGGAGGAACACCAAUGGCGAAGGCAGAUCUCUGGGCCGUAACUGACGCUGAGGAGCGAAAGCAUGGGGAGCGAACAGG